UACGGAGGGUGCAAGCGUUAAUCGGAAUUACUGGGCGUAAAGCGUGCGUAGGUGGUUCGUUAAGUCCGUUGUGAAAGCCCCGAGCUCAACUUGGGAAUUGCAGUGGAUACUGGCGAGCUAGAGUGCGGUAGAGGAAGGUGGAAUUCCCGGUGUAGCGGUGAAAUGCGUAGAGAUCAGGAGGAACACCGGUGGCGAAGGCGGCCCACUGGGCUGUCACUGACGCUGAGGCGCGAAAGCUCGGGGAGCGAACGGG
Molecule: ribosomal RNA, 253 nt
Filed under: uncultured bacterium
Lineage: Bacteria
Description: partial 16S ribosomal RNA
Rfam family: Bacterial small subunit ribosomal RNA
Source: RNAcentral